Molecule: long non-coding RNA, 1803 nt
Filed under: Homo sapiens (human)
Lineage: Eukaryota; Metazoa; Chordata; Mammalia; Primates; Hominidae
Description: HSALNT0161099
Source: RNAcentral
GGCUACUACCCGCGCGCGGUCGCCGCCUCCCCAGGUGCAGCCCCGCCAGUCCCAGCCCCCGGCUGCGCCGGGCGAGCGGCAUCAUCAGAUUUAGGGUGACCCGGAGCGACCUCGGUCCAGGCUCGGAGGGAGAGGCGCCUCUCAGGACCUGGCAGGUUGACAGGGAAGGGGAACCGGGAGGGAGCGGCGGCCGGGGCGGCCUGGAGUCUCGGAGGCCCGCCUGCGUCCUGGGGGGACCCGACCUCCGCGCUCGCUCCGGAGCGCCCGUUUGGAUAGCUCUGAGCCUCGGCGGGGUGAGCGAGGGGGCACACGAGGGAGACUUGAGCUGUGUUGUUUUUAGAAAACUGCCGCCAAUCUCUCUUCCCCUUUCCCUGCUGAGUGUGCAUUUUCCAGCCUAGACCCGCCAGGCCAGCAAAUAAAGCCACCGGAUCGUGCACUCCGGAGCGACUGCCCCCACCCCGACCUUGUCUUUCCCGAAGGGAAUGGCUCCUCCGGCGCCUCAACGCACAGAAAACGCCUGCCUCCAGCUGAGCGCUUUUGCCAGCUUUCUCCAACCAGUGAAUAAGGGAUGCACUAUGGACUCAGAAGGAAAUGUCAUAUUUAAGUUCUGCCUCUGAUUUCUCUGCUCUUAGCUGAUCUAAGGUUUUUCUAGACUCCUUAGUUUCCACUCACAGUGCUGGGUAAUGGAGCCCUACCGCACUGAUUGAGAAUUGCCGGCCAGUGGGUUGGUACAGAGCAAAUUGUCCUUGCUAACAACCUUUUUCCUUUGCUGUUGGAUUCCACUAAGUGGUGAGAGGGGUCAGUUUUAGAUUUUUGCAAUUCCCCAGCGUGGAGACAGGCCGGCUCUAUACGAGAAUAAGUGAUAGGCAGAGGAAGAAUUUGGCAGUGUUCCCGGGUUGAUUUUAUUUUGGUCUCUUGAACACAUUAUUCUUCCUGAUAGAACAAAUCCCUGGACUUGGUAGGACCCAGUUCCAGGGAAGGGAAGAGUCCUCUACCGCACCCCCAGAACGCCCUGCAGAGGCUGUGAGUGGGCAAAGCCCAGUUUCCUGGACUCCCACUUAGGAGGUGCUGCAGAAAUAAGGCCUUCAGCUGGGGCUCCCUGAGUCGGAUUGGAACCGUGGCCCAUCAGUAAGAGUAGACUGGAUGGUAACUGCUCGAUUCCUUUCAUCAAGCUCUCAUCCCUUUGUCAGAAAUAGAUGAAAUCGAUUGCUCCCAGAAGGCCAUUUGAGCCACUAACUCCCUCAAAGUACUUCAGAUUCAUGCAAUAUGGAGAUUCGGGUUGGUAGUUCAAACUGCAUCAUAUCUAGUCAAGUUUUUUGAAAACAUCAAACCCAUAAAUUUCAGAAAAGCAAUACAAGCUCCAUAUUUUUAGUAGGAGCUAACCUAGUUUUGAGAUGUAUGAAUAGAUGAAGUGAAACUGGAAAAACAUUAAAAGUUGGAAUUUUAAUUAACUAAUGUUUAAAAUAAGCCUAUUAGUGGUUAUUCUGUCAAGUGACUGUGUCAUGCAAGAGGUGUCAUCUGGGCCUCAUUUUUGGCCAUCUCCUUGAUUUGUACUGACAGAGAAGGAAGGAAAUAAACAAAUGAAUCUUCACUUUCUGAUUCUACCUUUUUAGCCUUUUAAAAGUUACCUUGAAAAUUCCUCAAAUAUUGGAGAAACGACUACCAACUAAAACGUUAACACAAAGUUACAAUGUGAAGUUUUUGUGAUACAGUAUAUUUACUAACCAACAAGAUGAAGAAAGAUAAUGCUAAAUUUUGAAUCACACUAGAUUCAAAACAUUUGCUAGAGUAGAGGUUACAGCC